This 75-nucleotide transfer RNA is filed under the name Lysinibacillus sp. BW-2-10. RNAcentral describes it as "tRNA-Gly". It matches the Rfam family "tRNA". Rfam says of the family: Transfer RNA (tRNA) molecules are approximately 80 nucleotides in length. Their secondary structure includes four short double-helical elements and three loops (D, anti-codon, and T loops). Further hydrogen bonds mediate the characteristic L-shaped molecular structure. tRNAs have two regions of fundamental functional importance: the anti-codon, which is responsible for specific mRNA codon recognition, and the 3' end, to which the tRNAs corresponding amino acid is attached (by aminoacyl-tRNA synthetases). tRNAs cope with the degeneracy of the genetic code in two manners: having more than one tRNA (with a specific anti-codon) for a particular amino acid; and 'wobble' base-pairing, i.e. permitting non-standard base-pairing at the 3rd anti-codon position. The record is from RNAcentral. Lineage: Bacteria; Bacillati; Bacillota; Bacilli; Caryophanales; Bacillaceae.
GCGGAAGUAGUUCAGUGGUAGAACACCACCUUGCCAAGGUGGGGGUCGCGAGUUCGAACCUCGUUUUCCGCUCCA